GCUCCCGUAGCUCAGCUGGAACGAGAGCGCUUCCCUCCGAAGGAAGAGGCCGUUGGUUCGACUCCAACCGGGAGCG
Molecule: transfer RNA, 76 nt
Filed under: Myxococcaceae bacterium
Lineage: Bacteria; Pseudomonadati; Myxococcota; Myxococcia; Myxococcales; Myxococcaceae
Description: tRNA-Arg
Rfam family: tRNA
About the family: Transfer RNA (tRNA) molecules are approximately 80 nucleotides in length.
Source: RNAcentral